UAAAGAGGCCUAAUAACUUCAUUUAUAGUUUUAAGAACUAUGUAAUUUCCACUGAGAACUUUAUGCAGUAUAGAGGCCAAGCUCAGGUAUAUUCUUUCAGUGCAGUACUUUGUUGUUGUUGUCUAAUAGAGACAGAUUUUUCUUUGUUUGGCAAAUAGCUAUGGGCCAGCAUAAGCCACAUAUCAAGUGACUGAAGUUACUGUUUAGGCACGUCCAGAGUCCAGGAUGUGGUUGCAAGCUUUGCCAUAAAAUUAGCAUCAAAUCAGCUAAGGUGCAGACUCUAGAACUCUGGGUACCUUUCAGCAUCAGGAAUGUCCAGAAAAAUAAGUCAGAACACAAAGAAGAUUUUAAAAUAUGUAAGAAGAAAACUUGUUUUUCUACUCAAACCAGACUGAUUUUCUAAUCUUACACUCUUGAACACGUCAUCUACCUAAUUACUUCACUGUGUGACCAAAGACAGGUACGUAAUUCCUGCCACACAUCAUGACACUAUGCAUGUAAACCUUUUGCAUCAGUGAUUUAGCAACUGAGUGGAUUCACUAAGAGCCUUGUGUGACACUUUGCUUACCUGGGUAGGAUGCCUCCUGAAGCCCUAGCUCUGGCAAACUUGAGUGGAAAUAGAUAAGAAUGUUACUUGUGCACAAAGCUUACAACUAAUCCAAGAUUUCAAAAGCAUCUCUCCAGGAGGCACAAAGAAUAAAUUGGAGAAUAUUUAAAGGAAGGGUCUAAAUAUAUUUGCCAUUGCAGAUUGCAAAAUAAUCACUAAUCUGUAUGAUUUUUUAAGUACCCCUGUCAGUCUUUUCUCAUGCUGUAUGUUGUAACUACCAUGGACAGCAAAAAGUUGGCCAAGACAUUUGCAAACUAAUCUGUGCUGGGGUUUUAACAGUCAGACAAAAUACUGUUGAGCAACCCUGAAAACUUUUUUCCCUAGUGACUGUCUCCACAUCUCUGCCAAUCCCCACUGAAACAACAUGUCUGAGAGGACAGCAACAGAAAGCCUGUAGAGUUCUGCUACUCGUCCCCUUUCUGAGUUGAAGGUGAAGCCUGAGGCCCAGUGGGAUUGCAUGAUUAAGGUUUUGACUGAAGGCUGUUGGGAAGCUGUCAAAACAGUAAGCAUACCAUGUUUGCAUCCAGAAUGGAUUAUAUACAGGGAGAGGCUUUACCUCCUGGUGUUUGUGAUACAGGCUCAAUAUUGGUUAUAUGGAACAUGCAUAAUGUAUACAGAGGAUGUACCUCUACUCUUAAGGCAUUGCAGAGAAGUUGCCCGAAGUCCACAAGGGUUGGAGGAGGAUGCUCAAUACACUGCAGUCAGGAGGGUUAGAGUACAUCCAGCUACUCCUGACACCUCUCCCUGAGACACCUCUUUUUGACCCACAGGGCUAGAGAAGGGAAGAUGGGAUCUCUAUGGCAUUUCCUGAGUUUCCCAGUGUCUACUUUGUAAUUUGAGUUUUUACACCAUUAAGCAUCCUAUAUAUGUACAAUCCACAUUGUUUGUGUAAUUUGGUUUCUAAAUAUUACCUGUAUAUAAACAGCUACAUGGUUAAAUAUAACAGUGAAAGCUCCAAUUUCAGUUCUACUUCUAGACCUCUGUGUAAUUUUUUCCACUUCUCUGUACUUGCAUCUCUCUGUAACAUGAGGCAUAGAGAUGAUUGAGGAAUCACAAUGAAGUUGGUUUGUGUUGCUGCUGGUGAAGGUUAGAUGGAUACAUUUGGGUAUUGCUGUCUCAUAUUCAUCUCUGGUGCCUGCAGGGGCCGUUGCUGUCAUGAAAAUCCAUCUAGUCUCACUACUCUUCUGUGACAGCAGAGAAGUGUUAGUAGCUCUGCUUUUCUAGAUGAGAACUAGAGGGCAGAAUGACCAUGCAUAGUAAUGUGUUCAGGAGACAAAAUAUUCAGUGGGACUUUUCCAGAGCAUGAAAGCAGGCUAGAGAUAUUUUCCUUGAGGAGACUAAGAGAAUAUUUCUUUACUUUGUGUAAUGUUUAAGAGCCUCUGUAGGCUUUUUAUCUGGUUGGAUGUGAGAUCAGAGUUACCGAACCAUCUGCUGAGUCUCUCAGUAGUUCAUUAAAAGUCUACAUAUCAGAAUGUCUAUCUAAAUUGAUGGUUAUUGAAUUCUUGGCUUAAAUGACUUCCUGUCUGUGACAGAGCAGAGAUGUAAGCCCAAGUCCCUCCCAAGUACUGUCCAAGACACUGAUCCUUCUGUUUGUGCAGAACUUAAGAUGAGAGGCAGGGCUUUAAGCACUCCGAUCACAAUGUGUCAUAGUAGAGUGAUAGUGAAAGUGUGAAGGUGUUCUGUAAUGUCUGUGGAGCUUCAGAGACCUUCAGAGUCUCCUCCCAGUCAACGCUACUCCAUAAUUUUAAGAAAAUGGUGGAUGGGUGGGAAGUAGCAGUGACUAUGAACUACUCUUCUACAUAAGAGACUGAGAUGUGAUAAUCUGCUAAAACCUUUGUUUUGCUUUCAAU
Non-coding RNA from Meleagris gallopavo (turkey), 2457 nucleotides. NCBI's taxonomy places the organism in Eukaryota, Metazoa, Chordata, Aves, Galliformes, Phasianidae. The record is from RefSeq and is a predicted model, not a curated record.